CCCUAUAAAUGCGAUCGCGAACUCGAGCGCUCUCAGCCACUCUCCUACCGUAUAAAUGGCCCUCGGUACGGCGGACGGUGAUCUGGCCGUCGCUCCAUCGAGCUUCGUCUCAUCCUUUCGCCUCGAACCCUGAACAAUUGGAACAGAAAUACAAAUCAAACGAUGAUAAAGCUGCGAUUCUGCUCAAUCUCUCCCUCUUGCCCCAACUCCCAUCUGCCGGGGUUUAGGGCACCGUGGUGCGGUGUACGAAUCAGAGACAAAGAUCUGUGGGUGCUGAGGUUAAGGUAUCAACAGCAAGAAAAGGCGGUACUGUGGAAGGCUAACAGGGCCUGACUCGAUUUCCUUGGCAGCGGCGGGGGUCAUGUGCGAUGGACGAGGUAAACAACCAGACCAAUGGCAUAAAGGUUGAACGACAAGCUGUCGGAGAUCGACGAGGAGUUGCAUAACCCACAACCGACCGUGAAUAAGAGGGAGACGAUCCAUCGGCUCGCCGCAUCCAGUUUCUCAUAUCUGCUCUUCACGCCCUAGGAUCAUCAAAGACAGCCUAAGAAGACAGGAGCUAAGAUCGUGUGAAAGAUGAGAAAGCUACUGACACUGUCCUCUGCUUCUGUUGAUGAUGAUGCUGUCAACAAUGUUGUUCUUGCAAAGCCGGAAAGUGUACCAAGAAACUAUGUCUAAGAUGCCGGAUGAACCAAUUCAGUUUCAAAGGAUUGGUAAAUUCUGGUUUAUAUCACCCGACGAAGCUUCUUCACCGUCACAAGCACGAGGAACUAAAUGCCUAUAGCAUCUACACCGGUCUUCACAUGUUUCCGAGACCGGGGAUGAGUAGGAAGGUGGUUCAUAUCAUAAUGAAGUUGCCACGAUGGGGGUGCCUUUUGAUAGUCGAUGCUCCAGUCCAGAAGACCAAAGAUUUAGUAAAACUUACCUGCGGAAGGUUAAAAAAUUACAAAGUUGAAUAGUUUUCAUGUCCUCACUGGAAAUAAAGCACGAGACGUGCAAUGGUUUUUCCUUUUAGUUGCUUAUGUAUUCCUGCCUUUUCUCAUGGAGCUAGAGUGGUAUCUUGGUGAAACCUGUCUAACUUUAGAAAGCCAUCGUCUUAUCCUCGGAGCUGGAGAGGCAUCAAGAGGAUGAUGACGUGCUUGAUCAGUAGGGGAAGGGGGUGAGACGUGGAGACUUACUUGUGUAUACAAAUAUUACAUGCAGGUUUUCUUUCUUUCAAGAAGCCAACAGCCAGAGAUAACGUUUGAGUUGAAUGAGUUUUAUGGUUGGAAGGGAUCAUCGUGCCUGCCACUUCCACGGCCAUCGCUGUGACCAGUUGUCAACAGCUUUAUCAAAGGGAGUACAUGAUUUACUUACUUUACCACAUAACAUGUUUCCUGCAGUUGGAUGGUCAUCCGGCAUCCUGCAUCCUGCAUCCUGCAUCCUGGUGGUGGUCGAAUAGUAAAGGCGGUAUCGCCGAGGUGGCGGUCCCCCCCCCUUUGUCAGGGGUUCAAAAUCACGAGUUUGGCCAUCUCGGACCUACAAAAGAGUGAGGAGGCAAUCACAAAAUGGGUAUGUCGACUUCCAGAUCAGUGCAGAAGAGUGCACGGAGCAUGUGGAAUGCGUUGAUCCGGGAGCAAGGUUUCUACAUCCUUCCUUGGUUGAAUAGGAUCUUUACAACUCAUUACAUGCAGUGUCAUGUGGAGUGCAUUUCUCGUGGUGCAACUCUCUUACCACAUUUUCUACCA
This is a long non-coding RNA of Musa acuminata AAA Group (dessert banana), 1727 nucleotides long. RefSeq lists it as uncharacterized. The record is from RefSeq and is a predicted model, not a curated record. The transcript is spliced from 6 exons. NCBI's taxonomy places the organism in Eukaryota, Viridiplantae, Streptophyta, Magnoliopsida, Zingiberales, Musaceae.